Molecule: transfer RNA, 68 nt
Filed under: Marmota monax (woodchuck)
Lineage: Eukaryota; Metazoa; Chordata; Mammalia; Rodentia; Sciuridae
Description: tRNA.Ala
Source: RNAcentral
GGGUUGUGGCUCAGUGGUAGAGCACUUGCUUAGCAUGUAUGAGGCAUAGGGUUCAAUUCUCAGUACCA